UAAUAGCUCACUGGUCGAGUCGGCCUGCGCGGAAGAUGUAACGGGGCUAAACCAUGCACCGAAGCUGCGGCAGCGACGCUUAUGCGUUGUUGGGUAGGGGAGCGUUCUGUAAGCCUGUGAAGGUGUACUGUGAGGUAUGCUGGAGGUAUCAGAAGUGCGAAUGCUGACAUAAGUAACGAUAAAGCGGGUGAAAAGCCCGCUCGCCGGAAGAC
RNAcentral lists this ribosomal RNA (212 nucleotides) under Escherichia coli. RNAcentral's name for it is "partial 23S ribosomal RNA". It matches the Rfam family "Bacterial large subunit ribosomal RNA", at positions 1135 to 1345 of the family's 2925-position model. The record is from RNAcentral. Lineage: Bacteria; Pseudomonadati; Pseudomonadota; Gammaproteobacteria; Enterobacterales; Enterobacteriaceae.